AAGUCGUAACAAGGUUUCCGUAGGUGGAAGGAUCAUUAACACGUAUCCAACGUUAAACCCCCCGUGCACACAGCGACCUGCUCCCCUCAAUUUCGGUCUUUUGGCAAUCCCUGGUAAAUCAUCGCCGAACAGUUUUGAUUCAGGGACAUCCAAAGGGCCGGGGUAGGGUAUUAAAGUAGUCAAUGCUGGUUUCUUUGAAGCAGAAAGUGUGAUGGCGUGAGCCGGAGAACGGACCAAGUGGUAGUUCAAAGGUGCCUUCUGUCGCGCACUGUGGAAAGGAAGACGCUACGAAUCACUGUCCAACUCCUAGACCCCAUUCACCACCACAGUCGCAGACGAGGUAGGGAUACGUCCCUACCACCAAAUAAAUACUUGAACAACUGUUAACAAUGGAUAUCUUGGUUCUC
This 407-nucleotide unclassified non-coding RNA is filed under the name fungal sp. RNAcentral describes it as "partial internal transcribed spacer region". Lineage: Eukaryota; Fungi. The record is from RNAcentral.